ACCAAGGAACUGAUAAAUUGACUAUGGU
This 28-nucleotide non-coding RNA is filed under the name Bombyx mori (domestic silkworm). Lineage: Eukaryota; Metazoa; Arthropoda; Insecta; Lepidoptera; Bombycidae. The record is from RNAcentral.